GACGAACGCUGGCGGCGUGCUUAACACAUGCAAGUCGAACGGAAAGACCCUGUUUUUGUGGGGUGCUCGAGUGGCGAACGGGUGAGUAACACGGGAGUAACCUGCCCUCCACUUUGGGAUAACUUCCUUAAACUGGGGCCUAUACCGGAGUGGGGCUGCUGCUGCGCGGUGGGGUUGGGAGAGUUUCGGCGGCUGGGGUUGGUUUCGCGGCGUAUGAGCUUGCUGGCUGGGUAGUGGCUUACCAAGGCUUUGACGGGUAGCCGGCCUGAGAGGGUGACCGGCCACAUUGGGGCUGAGAUACGGCGCAGACUCCUACGGGAGGUAGAAGUGGGGAAUAUUGCACAAGGGGCGGAAGCCUGAUGCAGCAACGCCGCGUGCGGGAUGACGGCCUUCGGGUUGUAAGCCGCUUUCGCCUGUGACGAAGCGUGGGUGACGGUAAUGGGGAAAGAAGCACCGGCUAACUACGUG
This 468-nucleotide ribosomal RNA is filed under the name uncultured bacterium. Its description in RNAcentral is "partial 16S ribosomal RNA". It matches the Rfam family "Bacterial small subunit ribosomal RNA", at positions 28 to 507 of the family's 1533-position model. The record is from RNAcentral.